Molecule: non-coding RNA, 671 nt
Organism: Cinara cedri
Lineage: Eukaryota; Metazoa; Arthropoda; Insecta; Hemiptera; Aphididae
Source: the annotation of a GenBank genome assembly
GUUGAGUUAAUUAUAGAAAUAAAAAUCAUAGGUUAAACGCCGAGUUACGUAUUUUUAACUCGGCUCUUGAAUUAAAAAUAUUGUUAGGUCGUCAACGCCCGGCCUUGUCGAUUUUAUUAUUGUUAUUAUUUGUUAAAAUAUUUAUUAUAUAUCGUAUAUAAAUAUAUGGUGGUGAAGGAAGGAGGUGGGAAGUCGUAAUAAAUCGUAAAUUUUAACGUCGUCGUAUAAUAUAAUAUAAUAAUAAUAUGAUAUAGUAUAAUAUUUUGCAUUUAAUUAUCACUAAUUUUUUUUUGUUUUUUUUGUUUAUUUUUUUAGUACACGAUUUAAUUAUUUUAUUUCUCUACAAAAAUAUUAUUGCCCGCGUUUCCAUCACACAUUUUUUUUUUCGAUUAGAAAACAUAAGAAUCAAAAAAAUCAAAUAAAUAACAAAGAUUAAACGCCCGUCAUCGUACCGUAAUGAUAACAACAUUGUAAUAAUAGAUAAUAAUUUUUAAUAAUAACGUUGUCCAUCUGCCUAACUGUUAUCGAAUUGACUAUAAAUAUUACGAUUAUAAUAUUGUUUUACUCGUACAUUAUAAUACCUUGUACACCACUCGUCGGGUGUGGUAUCACUGACCGCGUGCAGUACCUAGUCAAAUGGAAAAGAACGCUAGAAUUGUGUUUUCAUCUUU